GAAGACUGCCCUAUGGGUUGUAAACUGCUUUUAUUUUGGAAGAAAUUGCUCUACGUGUAGAGCCUUGACGGUCUGUAAGAAUAAGGAUCGGCUAACUCCGUGCCAGCAGCCGCGGUAAUACGGAGGAUCCAAGCGUUAUCCGGAAUCAUUGGGUUUAAAGGGUCCGUAGGCGGACUAUUAAGUCAGGGGUGAAAGUCUGCAGCUCAACUGUAGAAUUGCCUUUGAUACUGGNAGUCUUGAGUUAUGGUGAAGUGGCUAGAAUAUGUAGUGUAGCGGUGAAAUGCAUAGAUAUUACAUAGAAUACCGAUUGCGAAGGCAGGGCACUAACCAUAUACUGACGCUGAUGGACGAAAGCGUGGGGAGCGAACAGGAUUAGAUACCCUGGGAGUCCACGCCGUAAACGAUGGAUACUAGCUGUUCGGACUUCGGUCUGAGCGGGCAAGCGAAAGUGAUAAAGUAUCCCACCUGGGGAGUACGUUCGCAAGAAUGAAACUCAAA
Molecule: ribosomal RNA, 498 nt
Filed under: uncultured Cytophaga sp.
Lineage: Bacteria; Pseudomonadati; Bacteroidota; Cytophagia; Cytophagales; Cytophagaceae
Description: bacterial SSU rRNA
Rfam family: Bacterial small subunit ribosomal RNA
Source: RNAcentral